This 3986-nucleotide long non-coding RNA is filed under the name Eutrema salsugineum. RNAcentral describes it as "long non-coding RNA (ESAL_LNC001027)". Lineage: Eukaryota; Viridiplantae; Streptophyta; Magnoliopsida; Brassicales; Brassicaceae. The record is from RNAcentral.
CUUGAGCUACUCGUAUAGAGUUAAAGUGGUCCAAGUACUCCUCAGUAGUCGGGAAAUGUUCUUCCUCGGGCUCGGUCUUUGGUUCCUUCUUGGCUUUCUUGGCAUGGUCGGGUACAUGGGGAACUAUGGCUCUCAGCUCAUCUCCAUCGAUCUCAGUGGCUGCCUGCUCCCCAUUCCUUUUUGGUUCAAGGUUUGGAACCAGAGUGAGCUCGGCGUUCCUUGCUCGCUUGGCGGCUGGCUCACCAUCGGAUCUCACGAAGGGUUUCUUGCUUGUUCCACCAUUGCGUGCUACGGCCACGGCUUUCCCUUUCGUGCUCCUCCUCUAGACCUCAUUUUUGUUCGUCUCAUGAGUGGGAACAGCUCGGUCGCCGGUCAUCUGCAAGACAGAUCCUCAAAGAAACCGUUAGAAUCAAGUACAACGACAAGCACAGGUUUCUGAAGAUAGCAAAGACAGAGCUUUUUCUCUAACAAGAUCAUAGUUAUAGCUUUGUCAUACAUCAAAGAGAGAAGUAAGAACAAGCCAGAACAACCGAUUAGAGACAAGUUAUCAAGACAUUUCAGCUCAAGUACACAAAUCAUCAUUAAGACCGAUUUCAAGCGCAUUUUCUCAAGAAUUUUAAAAACUCAAGAACAAGUGAUUUUCAGAUCAAAAACCGGUUUUUCUUGUGUUGUCUAUCCUGAUGGAAUUUUUAAAAUUGUUCCCAGAGGUCGAUAUGUUCUAAAAGAAUCGAUUCCACAUUUUACAAACUUAAAAGCUCGCAAAGAAUGAAGGAAAAAAGAUGAGUUCUUUAAGAAGCAAAUACCUUUGGGAAUCCAAGAUUCAAGUUUAGUGGAAUGCUUAUGAUGAAUAGACAACACCCUAGCGAGUCUAGAACGCUUGGAAUCACAAGAAAUGGAUGAGAAAUGAGAGAGAUAUGUUCGUGAAAUGCAGAGAAAAGAGAGAAGAAGGCGAACUCUCGGUUUUGGCUCGGGAUGGAGGCUGGUAUGGGCGGUGUCGCGCUUUCCAGCUGGCGCUUGGACUGUAGUGGGACUGGUCCCCCCUUCUCCUCCAGCUGCGACCGUUGACCCGCGCCAAAACAGCUUUGACCGGGCGUUUAAAUUCAAAUUACCGCGCAAAGGCUUCCAAAUGGCGCGACUUUGGAAUGACGUGAGCCGUACGGACUAGAGUGGUUUUUCUCGUGUUCUCUUGAGCGGCCUCGACUUGUUCUACCUCGAGGGCACUAAGCCGAGUGGGCUAAGUUCAAGUUAACAAGAAUUUCCCCGCGGCCUUCAAAUCUUUUCCUUAGUCCGUGCAAACCUUCUUCUUUGACUCAAGUGUCCCAAGUGUUUAUGUUUUUGAUUGUUCUUGAAACUGGGCACCUCGGUAUGCUCCACCACGAGGGUAUCAUGCCGAGGUCACUUGUUUUUAACAGAGAACACUUGGUGCUGGGGUUUAAACGGUCCUGCCUUGGUGUAAACUGGUCGCGGCCUCGAUCGAGGUUUUAGACCGUUUGAAGUGAACUUUGCUCCUCGGUAUAAUCAUACCGAGGUGUUUACACCGUGGGCCUCCCCCACACUUAGUCAUCUCACCACAUAACUUCUUAAGCACGGCCACGGUGAAAUUAAGUCGAGGAGUUUAGCUGAGGUUCUCAAGCUAUUACUCGGUAAAAGGUGAUCGCGGUAUGUAUAUACCAAGGGUCGAUACCGAGGCUACGUACACUCUAGGACUUAAUUCAUCAGGCCAUGUCAUUUUCGAGCUUUUUCUUAUUCUCAUCAUCAAGAUUCACCAUCUAACUCCUGAAACACUUAACAAAACCUUCAAAAAGCUUCAAGUAAAAAGAAAAAGAAGAUGAAAAACGAAAUAUUUACAAGGAUAAGCUUGGGGUGUCUCCCAAGAGCACUUUGUUUAUCGUCACUAAGUUUGACUUUCCAUACCUUUUCAGGAUGAUUCUGGUUCAAGAAGAGGAACUGAGGUAGCUCCCUCUCUUGUUUCUGAUGCCAGGUAGUGUUUUACCCUCUGACCGUUUACUACAAAGCCUUGUCCAUCUUUUCCUUUCAAAACAACCGCUCCAUAAGGCCUUACUUCAAGAAUUUCGAAUGGACCGGACCAUCUGGAUCUCAACUUCCCAGGGAAUAGCUUGAGUUUCGAGUUAAACAGCAGAACUUGGUCUCCUUUUUUGAACUCUCUCUUGUGUAUCUUCUUGUCAUGAAGCGCCUUGGUCCUUUCCUUGUAGAUCUUAGAGCUCUCAAAAGCAUCUAACCUGAUUUCCUCAAGCUCAUGAAGCUGUAAAACCCUCUUCUCUUCUGCAGUCUUGAUGUCAAAGUUCAGAAGUUUCACUGCCCACAAUGCUUUGUAUUCCAACUCAACCGGUAGAUGACAGCUUUUCCCAUAGAGCAAGUUAAACGGUGAGGUUCCAAUGGGGGUCUUGUACGCGGUUCUGUAAGCCCACAAAGCAUCAUCAAGUUUCUUGCUCCAAUCCUUCCUAGAUGAGCUCACGGUUCUUUCUAAAAUAGCCUUUAUCUGUCGGUUAGAGACCUCCACUUGACCACUAGUCUGCGGAUGAUAAGGUGUGGCCACCUUGUGCUUUACUCCAUGCUUCCUUAAAAGACUCUCAAGAGUCUUAUUGAUAAAGUGGCUUCCCCCAUCACUGAUUACUACUCUUGGAACUCCAAACCGUGGGAAAAUGAUACUUUUGAAAAGCUUUACCACCACUUUUGAAUCGUUAGUUGGGGAUGCAACAGCCUCGACCCACUUGCUCACAUAGUCCACCGCGACAAGGAUGUACUGGUUUCCGUUUGAACUCACAAAGGGACCCAUGAAGUCAAUGCCCCAACAGUCGAAGACCUCGACCUCAAAGAUUGGGUUUUGGGGCAUCUCAUUCCUCUUGGAUAUGUUACCGUGCCUUUGACAAGCCUCGCAUCUCGAUACCACAUCUUGAGCGUCCUUGAACAUAGUCGGCCACCAGAAGCCGCUUUGCAAAAUCUUGGCAACCGUCUUGAAUGCACCUAGGUGACCACCGUACACUGAACCGUGGCAUUCUUGUAGCACCGGAUGGAUCUCUUCUUCGGCCAAGCAUCGCCUAUAGAGAUGGUCCUUGUUAAGCACGUAAAGAUACAGCUCAUCCCAAUGAUAUCUCAUCACAUCUCUAAAGAACUUUUUCCUCUGAUAGGCAUCAAGAUCCGGUGGCUCUAAACCGCAAGAUAGGUAGUUCACAAGAUCCGCGAACCAUGGGAGGCUUCUUUCCUUGAUCGUGUUGGCCUCUUCCACCUCUAAGUAAGACCGUACCAGCAUGAGAUGUUCCUCAGGUAAAGCAUCGUCUAUGGGGACCUUUUCUUCAAUCCUCAGCCUUGAGAGAUGAUCUGCGGCCCCAUUUUCUAUGCCUUUCUUGUCAAGUAUUUCCAUGUCGAAUUCUUGGAGCAAUAGGACCCAUCUCAAAAGCCUCGGCUUAGCGUCCUUCUUAGACAUCAAGUACCUCAAGGCCGCGUGAUCAGUGUAGACCGUGACCUUUGAUCCCACUAGAUAACUCCUGAAUUUGUCAAAUGCAAACACAAUGGCAAGCAUUUCCUUCUCGGUGGUUGCAUACUUUUCUUGAGCUGAGUCCAAGGUGCGGCUGGCAUAAUAAAUCACAUGGAGUUUCUUAUCUUUCUUCUGCCCCAAGACAGCUCCCACGGCAUAGUCAGAUGCAUCAGUCAUCACUUCGAAAGGUAAAGACCAAUCGGGAGCUUGUACAAUUGGUGCACUGAUCAAAGCCUCCUUGAUCCUCUUAAACGCUUCCUCACACUCUUCAUCAAAGAUAAACUCCACCUCUUUGCACAAUAGCCUAGUUAAAGGCCUAGCUAUCUUGGAGAAAUCCUUAAUGAACCGCCUAUAGAACCCAGCGUGCCCAAGAAAGCUUCUUAUCCCUUUUACAGAAUUCGGAGCUUGUAGGUUCACCAUUACCUCGAUUUUGGCCUUGUCUACCUCAAUUCCCUUCUCUGAUACCUUGUGCCCCAAGACAAUGCCUUCU